GAGGUUGGUGAAAUGGUCGCCCUGCCAUUGGUGGGGAGGAAAGUCCGAACUCCGCAGGACAAGGCGCCUCUUAAGAGGAGGGUCUCACCAAAAGGUGGGAACGGCAAGUGCAGCAGAAAGUAAACAUCCCAAUCUAGUAUUGGGAAAUAGAUGAAAUGGUGGUGUAAGAGACCACCAGUAUUUAUGGAAACAUGAAUAGCUGGGUAAACCCCGCCUGGAGCAAGAUCAAGCAAUCUAGUGUAGUUCGCACGUUACGGAUGGGUAGAUCGCAAGAUCCCGAUCGCGAGGUCGAGACCAGAUGAAUGACCAUUAUCCGCCCUCCGGCGGAAACAGAAUUCGGCUUAUGAUCCAACCUCAUAC
This 360-nucleotide RNase P RNA is filed under the name Fidelibacterota bacterium PRS2. Its description in RNAcentral is "Candidatus Marinimicrobia bacterium PRS2 Bacterial RNase P class A". It matches the Rfam family "Bacterial RNase P class A". From Rfam's summary of the family: Ribonuclease P (RNase P) is a ubiquitous endoribonuclease, found in archaea, bacteria and eukarya as well as chloroplasts and mitochondria. Its best characterised activity is the generation of mature 5'-ends of tRNAs by cleaving the 5'-leader elements of precursor-tRNAs. Lineage: Bacteria; Pseudomonadati; Fidelibacterota. The record is from Rfam by way of RNAcentral.